This 870-nucleotide ribosomal RNA is filed under the name Triticum aestivum (bread wheat). Its description in RNAcentral is "partial small subunit ribosomal RNA". Lineage: Eukaryota; Viridiplantae; Streptophyta; Magnoliopsida; Poales; Poaceae. The record is from RNAcentral.
AUGUCUAAACUUAAUCUAGGAUUACAUAUUCUUGCCAUAUAUGUUGUUUUCAUUGCUCACCAAAUCCAUGGAGGUGGAUUGCAUCCAACCAACCAAAAGGCAUGGUAUGCACAUGCUUCUCCAUCAAAAAAGUCCAAUGACAUCGUUUAUUUUGCGACACAUAGCACACAUCCCGGUAGCUACUAUGGACUUGCUGUUACAAUGGAUGUGUACGGACACAAUAUCAGUGCUGGUCAUAUCAUAACAUCUAUUUGGAUUGCUAAUAUGGAGGGUGAUCCAAAGACAGAUGAGAAUGCAAUUUGGGUCGGGUGGCAAGUUGACCCAAAAAAAUAUGGGGACUCACAUACUCACUUCUUCACGAGUUGGACGAGAGACACAUAUCAUACAGGGUGCUAUGACAUGGACUGCCCUGGUUUCCAGCUUGUUAAGGGGUCAAAAAUCGCUCCGGGUGGCACAAUACAACCAGUCUCUCAUGUUCAUGGUGUACGUCAAAAGAUUACAAUUAAAGUGUUUAGGGAAAAAUCCACGGGAAAUUGGUGGAUACACUACGGCUUCAACAAGGCCCCAACACCGGUGGGCUAUUACCCAGCAAAAUUGUUUGACAAGUUAUCGAAGAAGGCGACCCAAAUUUCAAUUGGUAGCGUUGUUGGGGGGAGUCCGUCUAUCCCAUCCCCUCCAAUGGGUAGUGGAUUCUUGCCGUCUGAUAAAGCUGCAUUAAUCACAGAUAUUUCACUCAUUGGGGAAGAUGGCAGGAUGACACCUUUUACUGUGAAUACAGACAGGUUACAGAGUAAGAGUAGUUGUUACUCUAUCUCACCUAUCCAAGGUGCAAAAUGUUCCUAUGGAGGUCCAGGAGGUUGCUCCCGCUAG